This 56-nucleotide transfer RNA is filed under the name Ictidomys tridecemlineatus (thirteen-lined ground squirrel). RNAcentral describes it as "Spermophilus tridecemlineatus (thirteen-lined ground squirrel) tRNA". It matches the Rfam family "tRNA", at positions 9 to 63 of the family's 71-position model. Rfam says of the family: Transfer RNA (tRNA) molecules are approximately 80 nucleotides in length. Lineage: Eukaryota; Metazoa; Chordata; Mammalia; Rodentia; Sciuridae. The record is from Rfam by way of RNAcentral.
AGCUCAGUGGUAGAGCACUUGCCUUGCAUGCGUGAGGCCCUGGGUUCAAUCCUCAG